This 526-nucleotide long non-coding RNA is filed under the name Gossypium raimondii (Peruvian cotton). RNAcentral's name for it is "long non-coding RNA (GRAI_LNC007535)". The record is from RNAcentral. Lineage: Eukaryota; Viridiplantae; Streptophyta; Magnoliopsida; Malvales; Malvaceae.
GACGCUAGAAGUUGUUGCUGUCUAGGGUUUUCUAUUUUUCUUGCUUUUGGGCUUGUGGGUUGCAAUUUUGGUAUUAGGUUUGAAUUGGUUUUGUAAUUGGUUAUUGGGCUGGGGUGUAUUAGGCUUAUGGUUUAUUUUAUUGGACUAUUAUUUUACAUUUUAUUUUAUUUUUAUUUUUAUUUAGUUUUAAUAAGCCCGAUAAAAUUGGUUAUUACAGCUGUGUUUUUCUGCUCGUUAUCGUGUAACGGGAACGAAGCAAAGACUUUAAAAAAGACCAAUUUUGCCCGGUCGUGCUGGACCUUGGUACUCGUCCUCUUUAAGUAGCCUCAUUUCAUCCUACUGCAUCUUCAGAAGUAUAGGAAUUGGUGUCUCGAUCAAUUCCUCCGCAACGUCGGGGAGAUAGGGUUUGUAACUCAUAACUUUAAUUUGCUUAACUGUGAUGUCGGGGAAGCAAGAUUCACCUUCAUAGCUUUAAUCUGUUCUACUACACUGCUAGGGAAGUAAGAUUCAUUAUCCUGAGUCUGCC